This 294-nucleotide unclassified non-coding RNA is filed under the name uncultured fungus. Its description in RNAcentral is "sequence contains ITS1". Lineage: Eukaryota; Fungi. The record is from RNAcentral.
UGGGACUACACGGGUAUCUAAUCCUGUUUGCUCCCCACGCCUUCGAGCCUCAACGUCAGUCGCAGUCCAGUGGGCCGCCUUCGCCGCUGGUGCUCCUCCUAAUAUCUACGCAUUUCACCGCUACACUAGGAAUUCCGCCCACCCCUCCUGCACUCUAGCACCACAGUUUCCAGAGCAGUCCCGGGGUUGGGCCCCGGGCUUUCACUCCAGACUUGCCUUGCCGUCUACGCUCCCUUUACACCCAGUAAAUCCGGAUAACGCUUGCCCCCUACGUAUUACCGCGGCUGCUGGCAC